GAAUACCGAAGAAUGUUAUCACGGGAGACACACGGCGGGUGCUAACGUCCGUCGUGAAGAGGGAAACAACCCAGACCGCCAGCUAAGGUCCCAAAGUCAUGGUUAAGUGGGAAACGAUGUGGGAAGGCACAGACAGCCAGGAUGUUGGCUUAGAAGCAGCCAUCAUUUAAAGAAAGCGUAAUAGCUCACUGGUCGAGUCGGCCUGCGCGGAAGAUGUAACGGGGCUAAACCAUGCACCGAAGCUGCGGCAGCGACACUAUGUGUUGUUGGGUAGGGGAGCGUUCUGUAAGCCUGCGAAGGUGUGCUGUGAGGCAUGCUGGAGGUAUCAGAAGUGCGAAUGCUGACAUAAGUAACGAUAAAGCGGGUGAAAAGCCCGCUCGCCGGAAGACCAAGGGU
RNAcentral lists this ribosomal RNA (396 nucleotides) under Pseudomonas aeruginosa. RNAcentral's name for it is "partial 23S ribosomal RNA". It matches the Rfam family "Bacterial large subunit ribosomal RNA", at positions 958 to 1352 of the family's 2925-position model. The record is from RNAcentral. Lineage: Bacteria; Pseudomonadati; Pseudomonadota; Gammaproteobacteria; Pseudomonadales; Pseudomonadaceae.